AAAUAUACAAAAUUAUACAUAAACCUAGACUAUACCUGUAAAAGAACAAAAAUAAUGCCUGAAAAGGGGAACAAAAAAACAAAGAAGAAAGGGUCUGAAAAGGUGCAGAGCAGCAUAGACCCCCUAACGCUGUCUUCUUCAUCCCCCAACCAAAACGACCCCCUGAACUUCCUCUUCAAUCUACAGAGUAGAAGCUGGCGACCCCUAAACUCCAUCCUCUUCACGCCUUCAACCUAAAAAUAAAAGGUUGAGCACCUUCUUCUUCCAAAGAACAUGGAGUUGUGUUGCUUCUUCAUAAAAUGAGCUGAAAAACACGAAAAAAAGGAUACAGAAAAAUAGCCGCAGAUUUCUCUUCUGCUUUAAAAAGAAUGUUAGUCUUGGUUCUGUUCGUCAAUCCGGCAUCAAGGUGAAACUAGUUUCGAGGUCUAGUCGUAGUUCCGUCAAGGGCCAAUAAAUUUUCUGGUUAUGUUCUGUCGUAUUGUUCAUGUCCAGCUAUGGGUAUGUUCUGAUUGUUAAAUCUUACCUUUGUUUAUGGAUUUAUUGGAAGUGUCUUGUUAUGGUUGAAGGAGAAAAGGAAUAAAAAGACAUCAUUUUCAUAAAUGUGUGUUUGGUAAUAAUGUAUAUCUUUAGUAGUACAUGCUCUUAUGACUUCUGUUUUCUAAUUCCGUCAUUCGUGAUUCUUAUUUCUGAUUAAUAUGACAUCUUGCUAAGUAUCGAGUUGGAAAGGGCAGAUGUCAUUUUGAUUGGCUACUUACUGCAGCAUAAGCAAUUUGCUUCUAUUCUAUAACAAAAUCUUAGGUACAAGUAGUAAAAAGAAACUAAGAUGAAUUACCAGAAGCUAAUGAUAGGAGAUUCCUCUUUGAUAAGGUAGCUAUUGAUUUAGUAUCAAUCAUAUGGCCCUCGUAUUGAUUUCUUGGGAUUUAGAUAUAGAAUAACAAAUGUUCGUCCUUUGCUUUAGGCUUGUUUAAUAUACCAUUCCGGUAGUGGACACGUUCGCGUAAUAUGAUGGUGAUUUUUAAAACAAAACCGAAGUAUGUGUUCCCGCAACUUGGUCCAAACUUUCUUAAUAAUAAUAAAACAUUAUUAAUUGUGGACACGUUCGUGUGACAUGAUUUUUGACAUGCCGAACAAAUGGGUACACGUACGCGUAACCCGUUUCAAGAUAAUUUUCUUAAUUAAAAAGAGGUGAAAGGUAAUGCACAUAGGUUCUAAAAUGAGUAAUUAGAAAAUUUAACAAACCAAGUAUGAUCAAAGUGACUGUGCUAGAACCACGGAACUCGGGUACACCUUCUCCCAGGUUAACAAAAUUCCUUACCUGGAUUUCUGUGUUUGCAAACAGAAACAGAGUCAAAUAUUUCCUCGAUUCGGGAUUUAAACCGGUGACUUGAGACACCAUAAAUUAUCCCAAGUAGCGACUCUUAUUUUAACAAAGAAUAAUCCCGUUUCAAUUUUCACUUAAUUUGGAAAAAACUCUCUUCUACAUCUCUUUCGGGGUAUAGGCAAAAAAGGAGGUGUGACAAGUGAUAACCGUGUUUAUUGUCUGUUAUUAGCCAUUGCCGGGAGUUAUGAGACUAGUAGAAAAUUCAUGUUGUCUGUUUCGAUAAGGUUUGAUGUGAUUUGUGAGUAUUCUACAUUACAAAUUGUGAUUUCUAUGCUCCACCGGUGUGGGAGCCAAGCUGUGUUGUAAUUUUUAGGCGGAAUUGGUCUAGUGAGAGUCUCUAGAUAGGUUGAUGUGUACCCUACUUGUGAUUCAGUGUUGAGGGUGGGACCCUCGUGAUUUCAGGUAACUUCAUAUGUUGAGACCGGGCUGUGUACUGCGGUGAGGGUUAUAUCAGUAUAAGAUCCUUGUGAGUCUUUUACACGCUUUCAUUCUUUCUUGUUAGAAUGUUCUAUCGAUUAGUGUUUUAGAAAAAAACAAUUGUGCUAGUCUGACUUGUAUGGUAGUUCCCUUAUCCGUUUUCGCUUUCCAUAUUCAUUUAUUUUCGUUUUAUACUUCUUGAAUUUUAGUUGUGGGGUGUGUGACGUUGGUAUUAGCUGAGGUUUGGCUAUUCGGGUGUUUUGUUAUGUGGUUUUCGUGGUUAUUACAUCACCGCUAGUGUUGUGGAGGUUUGAAAAGAGUUCCUAUUGAAUAUGGGGAUUAUGGUAGGUACGGGUUUGAUCUCAGGCAAGUAUUGUUAUCAAAAAUAUUAUUGUGAGCCUAUGUGUGAUGUGUUAUGUUGUGUGGUUGUACCCGGUAUGUGUUCGCAAGAAUGGGAGUAGCUGGUUGAGACUGAUACCAUAUAUGGAUUUAGAAUCGGGCUUUGGGAAAUAGAUGGAAAGUGAGGAUUCUGGAUUAAAGGCUUAUUAGUAUGGCUAGAAAGGCUACAUUUCAGUUGAGAUGGCAUCGUCAUGCUUACGUGGAUUGGGGUGAUGUGGGAUCACCCUGGGGUGUAUGUUAGAAGUUCGCACUCUGUGACUUGAGGACUUCGAGGUGAAACUUAACACGUUCAAGGACGAACGUUGGUUUUAAGAGGGGGAGGAUAUAAUGACCUAACCAUUCGUUUUGAGAAAUUAAGCUCCGUUUAGCGGCAUAAGGUAUGGAACACCUUCAGAAUAUGAGUACCAACUUGCACGCAUGGUGGAAUUCGGUUUUCAAUGGUUUAGAGUCAAUUGGAAGAAGGAAUCUAGUUUUGGAAGUUUCAACGGUGAAAGGUUGACUGAAAUUAGUUUUGGAUAAACAACCCCGGAAUGGGUCAUGGAUGAUCUCAACAGCUUCAUAUGGUGAUUUUGAACUUAGGCGCAUGUCCGAAUUCAGAUUUGGAGGUCCGUGGAGUGAAUUGAGGCAUUUUGGCAAAAAUUGGAAAAGUCAAAGUUUGGGAAAUAAAGAAGUUUGACUCACAGUUGACUUUUGUGAUAUCGGAGACAGAAUGCAAUUCCGAGAGUUGGAGCUGCUCCGUUAUGUCAUUUUGGACGUGUCUGAAAAAUUUGGCGUCAUUCCGAGGUGAAUUGAUAGGUUUCGGCAUGAAAUUUGAUAUUUGAAGAUUUGGAAGUUCAAAAGCUUGAUUUUUGGUUUGAUUCGUCGAUUCGAUGUUGUUUUAUGUGAAUUAAAACUUUGAGCAAGUCUGUGUUAGGUUAUAUGAUUUGUGUGUGUCAUUAGAUGGGGUCCCGAGAGCCUCGGAUGUCUUUCGGAUGGGCUACAGAACACUUUCUCCUAUUUUUGAAUUGAUGUUGCUGCUUCUGGUAUCCCUCUAUUGCGUUCGCAAGCAGCCCUUCGCGCGCGAAGCCUUGUUAUUGACCACCUUGAAAUCCUUAUUCGCAUUCGCAUCUAUAGCCUCGCGUUCGCAAAGCUCUGCUUAAUUAAGCAUCGCAUACGCAUUUGAUCUCCUACAAUUGCAAAGGUCUAUAUUUCUUUACUUUGCGAUCACAUUUCUAGUUCCGCGUUCGCAUAGUAGGAAUUGGGAGUGGGGAAAUUGACCAUCCUUUCCUCUUCGCGUUCGCAGAAACCCAUCCGCCAUAGCAUAGGCCACCACCCCACUAUUCUUCGCGUUCGCAUCCUUAUUCACGUGAUCGCAAUGUGCAAUCUAGGCAGCCUCAAUAUUUCUUCUACGCGAUCGGACCCCUCUCCCGUGAUCACGGUGCACAAACACGUGGGCAGAAAAAAUAUAUCCCAAAUUCGAGGGCUUUUUUACCAUUUUUAUCAAAUUUUUGACUUCUAAAGCUCGGUUAUUGGCAAUUUUGAAGGGAUUUUCUCCUGGGCAACUUGGGUAUGUGCUUAUCACUCGGUUUAGACUAAUUUCCAUAAAUCUCCUCUUAAAUUCAUCCUUAAAAUUUUGAAUUUGAAUGAAAAUUUGGUAGAAAUUCUUAGGCCGAAUUAUUGAGCUUUGAUUGGGUUUUUGACAUCAGAUUUGAGAGAUUUUAAUGCGGUUAGACUCAUGAGAAUAUGAGGUUUAUAAAAACGUUAAUUUCACCCGAUUAUGAGACGUCAUGAGGGGCAUUUUGGUUAUUUUACCUAAUUUCACGUCUUAGCUUUGAAUAAAAUCAUAGUAUCACUUUCUUGAGAUGUUUUUUUACGAUAUGUAAUUGAAUUGAAUAGACUUGGGCCAUUGAGAGUCAAGUACUCAUGGCAAGAACGUGGUUUCUAGUUGAUUUUGAGCCGGUUUGAGGUAAGUAUCUUUCCUAAUCUUGUAUGGGGGAUUUCUCCUUAGGAUUUGAGUCUUCUCUGUUGAUUGUCUACCUUGUACGCGAGGUGACGAGUGCGUUCUCGGAUUUAUUUGUGGAAAUUUGCCCCUUUUAGGCUCUUAGAUCCUUGUAAUCACUAAGUAUGAAGUGUUCUUGAUAUGAUUAAGUUCUUGGUUACUAGUUUCACCUAUACAUAUCUUACUUGGAAUUUAAUUGCCCUUUUUGGUUUAUUUUCUUGCUGCCUAAUUGACCAUUACUUUGUUUAAUUGAAGAUCCCUACCUUUGCGUAGUCACAUUAUCUUUCUGCUUGCCUCUAUUUUGAAAUCAUUAGUAUCUUUCAUGUAAUUACUUGGUCAUAAUGGAGGUUACGAUUAUCUUCCCUCGGUUUAUCCUUAAUUGAAAUCGUUGUAUAUUCUUCGUAACUUGCCCAACUUUAAAGAUGUUAGAUAUCCUAUGUUUAGUUGAUAUUUCCUUACUUGAAAUUAUUUGAUUCAUGAUAACUUCCUUGUUGUUAAACUAAGUAUUAUGAUAUCGUUGCUUCAUAUUAUUUUUCUCUCUUGUUAAGUUGUUCUUAUUACGCUUAGUAUUUUCAAUUGUGGUUAUUCCUUGUGAGCUAGUCUUACCACUCCCAUGAACGAAGGAUUUUGAGUUAAUUCACUUGUUAUGCUCUUGUAUAUAUUCUAUUUUUUGCUGUUGUACUUGAUAUUGUUGAUGCACGAGGUUUCUGUUGUGCGGUUAUUGACAUUGUAAUGCACGAGUUUUUUACCGUGUGGUUAUUGAUAUUGUUAUGCACCAGGUUUCUGCCGUGCGGUUGUUGAUAUUGUGAUGCACGAGGUUUCUGUCGUGUGAUUAUUGAUAUUGUGACGCACGAGGUUUCUGCCGUGCAGUUGUUGAUGUUGUGAUGCACGAGAUUUCUGCCAUGCGAUUGUUGUUGAGGGUUCUCACGAGGUAUUUGUCGUGCUACUUUUGCUAUUCAUAUAUUGUACAUGCAGCGUAAUAAGGUGGGAUAUGUUCAUAUGCUUAUAUAGGGGUUGUGCGUGUGACGAAAUAAGGUGGGGAACAUUAUGAUGCACGUGUGGUGAAAUAAGGUGAUACUUAUUAUGUUAUUAAUUACACAUGUGGCGAAAUAAAGAAGGCUAUGUCAGGGAUUAAUUGUAAGGAUUGUGACGGCCUGUGGAGGCAUUUUUAUUUUUGUUUAAAUAUUUUAACUGUGUUUGCUUUCUUGUAUGAGCUUUAUCUUGUGUAUGUGGUGAAGGAACAUUGUGCUUGUUGCCCGCUCUUCUUAUCUUUAUUAGCUGGCAGGAAUCUUGAUAAAGUACUUGCACAAGCAUACACGUAGUUGAAACACUCCUAUUGGAGGUGAAGUUCCCCUAACUUGGCUAAGUAUAGUGGUACGUCCUCAUUUAAUCAUUAUAUAUGUGAGAGUGGCCCUAGUUGGCCAGUUAGUUGUCAGCAUAAUUGUGAGACUAAUGGGGCACAUGAUGCUAAGUGUUAUAUUUCAGACGCUAGAAUUUCGUGAGUUGUGGUUUGUCCAAGAUCUGGUAAAUUUGUGCAAAUAGUUGAAUUAGACCUUAUGUGAACAUCAUCGUAGAACAUGAGUUAUUAUUUUGUUUUCCCCUUAUUGUGUUGUGAUCUUAAGAGUUAGAUUGUGUUUUUGCCGUCAUUAUGUAUCAUCAUUUCUUAUAUUCUCGUUGUUACUUGUUGUUCUUUUCCCCUUGUUGUCAUUUUAGCAUUAUUGGUCACUCCGUGCCCUCUUUACAAAAAUAUAUGUAUAACAUUUCAGAUGUUCCUAUAAUUAUACUAUUUAUUUGACCGGUAGGUAUCUUGACUGUUCCUCAUCACUACUCCAUCGAGGUUAGUCUUGAUACUUACCGGACACCGAUAUGGUAUACUCAUGCUACUCUUCUGCACAGUUUUAUUGUGCAGAU
This 6086-nucleotide long non-coding RNA is filed under the name Nicotiana benthamiana. RNAcentral's name for it is "long non-coding RNA (NBEN_LNC038252)". Lineage: Eukaryota; Viridiplantae; Streptophyta; Magnoliopsida; Solanales; Solanaceae. The record is from RNAcentral.